GAUGAACGCUGGCGGCGUGCUUAACACAUGCAAGUCGAACGGUGAAGCACAGCUUUCUCUGUGUAUCAGUGUCGAACAGGGGAGUGACACGCGAGCAACCUGCCCCUGAGACUGUGAGAAACGCUCAAGACGGCGGCGAAAACAGGAGAUGAGCUGCGACGGCGCGGGGAGGGGGUGGAAAGGUUUGUCGGUCUGGGAUGGGCUCACGGCCUAUCAGCUUGUUGGUGGGGUAAUGGCUCACCAAGGCGUCGACGGGUAGCCGGCCUGAGAGGGUGACCGGCCACACUGGGACUGAGACACGGCCCAGACUCCUACGGGAGGCAGCAGUGGGGAAUAUUGCACAAUGGGCGAAAGCCUGAUGCAGCAACGCCGCGUGAGGGAUGACGGCCUUCGGGUUGUAAACCUCUUUUACCAGGGACGAAGCGAAAGUGACGGUAAUUGGAGAAAAAGCGCCGGCUAACUACGUG
This 467-nucleotide ribosomal RNA is filed under the name uncultured bacterium. Its description in RNAcentral is "partial 16S ribosomal RNA". It matches the Rfam family "Bacterial small subunit ribosomal RNA", at positions 28 to 507 of the family's 1533-position model. The record is from RNAcentral.